GUAUUGAUCGCGUAUCACCGCAAAAAGAAAAUACAUUCUACACUGCUUUAAGGUUUGUGUGAAAAAACGUGGGCCCCCCCUUCCAGGGGAACUCACGCGGUUGUGCACAAAGGGGUGAGAUGGAUGUGUGAGAGUGCUCGGGCGUGCACGACCUUUAAAAAGGUCAGCGACAGCCCUCGCACCCCCGUUGUAUGAUAAUGAUCCUUCCGCAGGUUCACCUACGGAAA
This 227-nucleotide unclassified non-coding RNA is filed under the name uncultured fungus. RNAcentral describes it as "sequence contains ITS1". Lineage: Eukaryota; Fungi. The record is from RNAcentral.